UGGGGAAUAUUGCACAAUGGCGGGAAACCCUGAUGCAGCCAUGCCGCGUGUGUGAAGAAGGCUUUCGGGUUGUAAAGCACUUUCAGCGAGGAGGAAAGGGUUGUAGUUAAUAACUGCAAUCUGUGACGUUACUCGCAGAAGAAGCACCGGCUAACUCCGUGCCAGCAGCCGCGGUAAUACGGAGGGUGCAAGCGUUAAUCGGAAUUACUGGGCGUAAAGCGCGCGUAGGUGGUUGAUUAAGUCAGAUGUGAAAGCCCAGGGCUCAACCCUGGAACUGCAUUUGAAACUGGUCAACUAGAGUUUUGUAGAGGGUGGUAGAAUUUCAGGUGUAGCGGUGAAAUGCGUAGAGAUCUGAAGGAAUACCAGUGGCGAAGGCGGCCACCUGGACAAAGACUGACACUGAGGCGCGAAGGCGUGGGGAGCAAACGGGAUUAGAUACCCCGGUAGUCCACGCAGUAAACGAUGUCUAUUAGAAGUUUGUGGCUAUAUGCCGUGGGUUUCAAAGCUAACGCAUUAAAUAGACCGCCUGGGGAGUACGGCCGCAAC
Molecule: ribosomal RNA, 546 nt
Filed under: uncultured bacterium
Lineage: Bacteria
Description: bacterial SSU rRNA
Rfam family: Bacterial small subunit ribosomal RNA
Source: RNAcentral